UUUCGUAUAUAUUAUUUUAUGCAUUUUUUAUUUCAGCUUUACAAAUUAACGUUUAUCAUUACAAUAAUAAAAUCAUUCAUAUUAAAAAGUUGUGUUAUACGUGUUAUCCCUUAAAGUUAAAAAUAGCAAAUGGUCAAUUCUAUAUUUAAUUCUGGUUGUUGAUUGGCUGAGAGAAUUUUCGCGCGGUGCGCGGCAGGUAGUUUUCGAGUGAGGGCUAGUUUUUCGUCGAGCUCAGGAGAGGUGGACAUUAUAUGUCUGAGACUAUACGUCAAAUAAAUACGACUUCUGACAUGACCUCAUACUGAUCCUGACUUGAUUAACAGCAUUUGUCAUAAUUAUUUGAAGUGGACCCUGAUCCACAAUCAGGGUUGUUCAUUUUAAUACAGAAUAUAUAUAUAUGAAAAUCCGAACCAUCAGUAUUGUUAUUCUUGGUACAACGCCCAAUAGUAACGCUACUUCAUUGGCGCCCACGUUGGGACCCUGCAGUCAUAACUUCAACUCACCGUGGAACUGGCGUGCCACAACUGAAUGAAAUACCGUCGAUACCUGGCUGAUCGGAAGUAGUGAACCGAGACGAUUUAACAAGCAAGGACACCUGUGAUUCGAACAGCUGAACAUUGACCCACUUGAGGAUUUCUCGUGGAGGGGGCAUAUGUGACGUAGUGCUCAUUUCGAUGCAUCAGUGUGUUUGAUAAGUUUUCUGGCCAGUACAUGUAGUAGUAUAUAUAGAGUACGCGUACGGUAAGGUUGUCAAAUUUACCUGUGUGCACUAUUAUUUUUCCUUUUAUUGUUCACGUUUAAAAAAAAAAACAUUUGUGAAGAACUGUAUGAUUGUGAGCUCAAUUCUAUUUUUGUAAGGGAACAUUUUGUCAAAGUAGAUUGAAUUCAUAGUUAAAUCCGUGUGGGUGUGUGAAUUUGAAAGUGCAGACUAACAAUCCACUUUUCCCUUUAAUAUCUUCUCUUUGCACGUUUUAUACAAGACGAUGUUGACAUUAUGACAGUACAUGUUUGAACAGUUGAAGGUUACAUAAUACCGUGUGUCUGUCUGUCUCGUCCAUUGAGUAGUCUGUUGUUGUAGAAGUGUCAUUCAGUUCAGAAUUUCAUUUAAAUAUCUAUAGUUGUCUGAAUUGUUCCAUGUUGACCAGCGCAUAGCAGAACAUUGAGUCUUCUGAGUAAAGAGUUUAAUCAUACAGGGUUCGACCAGUCUGUCAGUCAUCUAAAUAAAUAUAUACAUGUAAAUCUCGGAUAACUAGCGAUUAUAUACGCGUUUUUUUUUUAGAAGCGGUGUAGAUGUGCGUGCUAACUUGAUCACAUUCGCAGGUAAUCUAAGUUGCAACUGUAGAUAGUAUUUGUAUUAUUCUAUUAAGGAUCUAUUGCUUAUGUGUAGUUGUUGAUAGCUUAUUUAGUAAUUAGUUAGAUUAAAAAAAAAAAAUGUUUACAGUUUGAAACCAGUGCUGUCUGAAAAUCCGUCACGCAUGAUUGACUUCACCUGAAAGUUUGCAGAGUUACCUGUCCUUGAUUUAGUACGAGUUACUCAUCUUGGAUUUUUUUCAGCUUUCUUACCAAAAUUUUUUUUUCAGCUUAUCAAGUUAAUUAAAUUUUUUUUGCAGCUUGAUAAUCAAACAUUUUAUUUGCAGCAAUAAGUUGUAGUUAGAAUAUUUAGAAUAAGGCGUGUUUGUUUGAGUUUAGAAUUUUUUUAGUUUAUUAAGUUAGACUUAGAUCUGUGUGUACUUAGAAGCAUAGUUGCAUGUAGAGAUGGCAACUGGCGAUCAAAGUGUACAUUUAAAUAGAGGUGAUCAGAAAGCAGAAUUGAACGAACAGCAAAUUAUGCGCAUGAUCGACUAUUUAACGGAACAUACCGAUUACAAGAUAUUGACUAAUGAUGAGUAUCAAAUACUGAAACCUGUUGCACACAGUACACCCUCAGCCGCAAGAGAGAGUGGCGGUGCAAGACCAAAAGAUCAAAUUCGUAACGUAAAAUUUGAAGAUCAGUCGCAAAUGCAGAAUCAGUUUACAGAAGGACAUACAAGUGUCUUAUAUGAUGCAACGAAUGUAAGGCCUCGAUUUACAAUUUUUUCUGGAGAAGAAAAAUCUGAGACGUCUUUUGAGGUGUGGAAAAACGACGUUAAAUGCGCAAUAAGAGAUGGCUCAGCGUCAACAAGUUUGAUAUUACAAGCCAUACGUUCGUCGCUUAAAGGAAAGGCUAGGAGUUCGCUGCUAACGUUACCAACUGAUGCAACUCCAGACCAAAUAUUACAAAAAUUGGAUGGAAUUUACGGAAAUAUUUAUCCCAGUGAAAAGUUAAUCCAACAGUUUUAUGAGGCAAAACAAAAAGAAGGAGAAACUGUCGCAGAUUAUGGAAUGAGACUUGAAAAUCUUAUACAGACGUGUAUUGACAGAGGAACAUUCAACUCUGAUUCCAGAAAUGAAAUGCUGAGAACAAAGCUAUGGUCAGGACUUAGUGACAUAGACUUAAGAAACGCAAGCCGUUACAAGUAUGACACCAUAGGAGAUUUUGAAGAGUUGCGAAGGGAACUACGUACUAUCGAGUUGGAUUUGAGAA
This is a long non-coding RNA of Magallana angulata, 2563 nucleotides long. RefSeq lists it as uncharacterized. The transcript has 3 exons. Lineage: Eukaryota; Metazoa; Mollusca; Bivalvia; Ostreida; Ostreidae. The record is from RefSeq and is a predicted model, not a curated record.